Molecule: ribosomal RNA, 459 nt
Filed under: uncultured bacterium
Lineage: Bacteria
Description: partial 16S ribosomal RNA
Rfam family: Bacterial small subunit ribosomal RNA
Source: RNAcentral
CCUACGGGUGGCAGCAGUGAGGAAUAUUGGUCAAUGGUCGGGAGACUGAACCAGCCAAGCCGCGUGAGGGAUGAAGGUACAGAGUAUCGUAAACCUCUUUUGUCAGGGAACAAAUGCGGGUACGUGUCCCCGGAUGAGUGUACCUGAAGAAAAAGCAUCGGCUAACUCCGUGCCAGCAGCCGCGGUAAUACGGAGGAUGCGAGCGUUAUCCGGAUUUAUUGGGUUUAAAGGGUGCGCAGGCGGUCUGUUAAGUCAGCGGUCAAAGUCCGGGGCUCAACCCCGGCCAGCCGUUGAAACUGGCAGUCUUGAGUUGGAGAGAGGUAUGCGGAAUGCGCGGUGUAGCGGUGAAAUGCAUAGAUAUCGCGCAGAACUCCGAUUGCGAAGGCAGCAUGCCGGCUCCACACUGACGCUGAGGCACGAAAGCGUGGGUAUCGAACAGGAUUAGAUACCCUAGUAGUC